This 103-nucleotide small nuclear RNA is filed under the name Piliocolobus tephrosceles (Ugandan red Colobus). Lineage: Eukaryota; Metazoa; Chordata; Mammalia; Primates; Cercopithecidae. The record is from RNAcentral.
GUGCUCACUUCGGCAGCACAUAUACUAAAAGUGGAACAAUAUGGAGAUUAGCAUGGCCACUGCCAAGGAUGACACUCAAAUCCAUGAAACGUUCCAUAUUUUU